Non-coding RNA from Cicer arietinum (chickpea), 119 nucleotides. NCBI's taxonomy places the organism in Eukaryota, Viridiplantae, Streptophyta, Magnoliopsida, Fabales, Fabaceae. The record is from Rfam.
UGAUGCGAUCAUACCAGCACUAAUGCACCGGAUCCCAUCAGAACUCCACAAUUAAGCGUGUUUGGGCGAAAGUAGUACUAGGAUGGGUGACCUCUUGGGAAGUUCCCGUGUUGGACCUU